UGGGGGAUAUUGCACAAUGGGGGAAACCCUGAUGCAGCGACGCCGCGUGGAGGAAGAAGGUUUUCGGAUUGUAAACUCCUGUCGUUAGGGACGAUAAUGACGGUACCUAACAAGAAAGCACCGGCUAACUACGUGCCAGCAGCCGCGGUAAAACGUAGGGUGCAAGCGUUGUCCGGAAUUACUGGGUGUAAAGGGAGCGCAGGCGGGAAGACAAGUUGGAAGUGAAAACCAUGGGCUCAACCCAUGAAUUGCUUUCAAAACUGUUUUUCUUGAGUAGUGCAGAGGUAGAUGGAAUUCCCGGUGUAGCGGUGGAAUGCGUAGAUAUCGGGAGGAACACCAGUGGCGAAGGCGGUCUACUGGGCACCAACUGACGCUGAGGCUCGAAAGCAUGGGCAGCAAACAGG
RNAcentral lists this ribosomal RNA (404 nucleotides) under Streptococcus sp. RNAcentral's name for it is "bacterial SSU rRNA". It matches the Rfam family "Bacterial small subunit ribosomal RNA", at positions 355 to 776 of the family's 1533-position model. The record is from RNAcentral. Lineage: Bacteria; Bacillati; Bacillota; Bacilli; Lactobacillales; Streptococcaceae.